UGCAUCCGUAAGAGAUUUGAGAAAAGCUAUCCCUAGUACGAGAGGACCGGGAUGGACGUAGCUCUAGUGUGCCAGUUGUUCCGCCAGGAGCAUGGCUGGUUGGCCACCUACGGAAGGGAUAACCGCUGAAAGCAUCUAAGUGGGAAGCCCGUUUCAAGAUGAGAUCUCCCACCGGGUUAACCGGGUAAGGCCUGUGGUAGACCACCACGUUGAUAGGCCGGAGGUGUACGUGCGGUAACGCAUUUAGCCGACCGGUACUAAUCGGCCGAGGGCUUGGUUAC
RNAcentral lists this ribosomal RNA (281 nucleotides) under Acidimicrobiales bacterium. Its description in RNAcentral is "partial 23S ribosomal RNA". It matches the Rfam family "Bacterial large subunit ribosomal RNA", at positions 2646 to 2925 of the family's 2925-position model. Lineage: Bacteria; Bacillati; Actinomycetota; Acidimicrobiia; Acidimicrobiales. The record is from RNAcentral.